This 3419-nucleotide long non-coding RNA is filed under the name Homo sapiens (human). Its description in RNAcentral is "HSALNT0357477". The record is from RNAcentral. Lineage: Eukaryota; Metazoa; Chordata; Mammalia; Primates; Hominidae.
AAGAUGGCGGACGAGCAGCUGCAGCAGCUCCGUGCGGUGCUACAGGGGGAGGGGAAGGUGGUUUCUCCUGACACAAGCUGGAGGCCGGAGCCUGUGGCACCCUGGCUUGCCUCACUGAAGCUGGUGGCUGUGACAGGGACUGCACGGCUGCUGGAGUGGUAGAAAGGCAGCCCAGGAGCCGCAGCCCCAGUGGGCCCAACGGUUCCUGUGGGUGGGGAGCCAGCCACCUUGGAGUCUCCAGUUCACUGAAACCUGUCACUGCCACCCAGUGGCCACCAUGACAAGGAAGCCAUCAUUCUGUAGAAGGCAGUGACGGAACAGUACCAGCAGAAAUUGAAGGACCAGCAGAAGGGAUCAUGGCCAAAGUUGCAGUGUCCCCCCGCUCGUUGAAGAUGAGGAGUUCUCAGAGAGCGGGAUGUUUGUGACAUUCCUCAUGUCAGCUCUCGAGUCCAUGACUCUCACUCGGUCGUCCAGGCUGGAGUGCAGUGGCACCAUCUUGGCUCAUUGCAACAUCUGGCUCCCAGGUUCAAUCGAUUCUUCUGCCUCAGCCUUCUGAGUAGCUGGAAUUAACAGGUGUAUGCCAACUUAUCUGGCUAAUUUUGUUGUGUAUUUUUCUUUCAGUACAGACUGGGUUUCACCAUGUUGGCCAUGCUGGUCUUGAGCUCCUCACCUCAGGUGAUCCACAUGCCUCAGCCUCCUAAAGUGCUGGGAUUAUAGGCGUCAGCCACCGCUUCUGGCCUAGAUCAUUAACAUAUCACUAUGAUACUAAAAUUCCCUCUGCCAAAGAAAAUCUUGCCAUUUUGUGACAUGAGUUGUAUAAAGAUGUAUGUUUAUAUGCACUGAACCUGUGCACCUAGAGUUCCACCCUGCUCAUGCUAACGUUGUUCUCCCUCCCCGUACCUAGUUCUUAAAAACUCCAUGCCUUCCAUUUUUCAGGGAAAGGGUGUCUUUAGAGCAAGAACUCUUUUCUUCUCCAUCCCAGGCAGGGAAAAAACCCACUUGGCCUUGUUUCUGAUUGGGUUUUCUUGCUUUGCGACUAAUACAAAGCAGGAAAAAACUCCCUUUAUCAGUGAUAAAAACAAGUAAGAUUAUUAUUUACCCACCUAUUCUAGCUAGGGGUCAUGGGUGGCCGGAGUCUCUCCUAGCAACUCAGGGCGCUAGGCAGAACCAGCCCUGGAUCUGGAAUAGGGUGCCAUCAUAUGGCAGAGUGUACAUACACACACACACACACACACACACACACACACACACAGAGCUCAAAUGGGGACUAUUUAGAAAUGAUAGUUCACAUAAUGGGCACAUCUUUGAGAUGUGGGAGGAAACUGGGAGUACCCAGUGAAAACCCAUGUGGACCUGGGGAGAAUGUGUAAAGGACACACAGGAAGUGGCCAGCUGGGAGUUGAUUGUUUUUUCUUAUCAACAUUACAAUGAAAUGAUACUGAACGAAAUGACAUUAUUCAAGUACCUGCUGUAAUAGUCAGACUCCUUCAUAUAAAAUUCAAAGCCCUCUACACUCGGGCACUACAUUGGACUUCCAUCCUACACCUACAUUCUAGCCACUGUACUACACAUCAUUUACCAAAGGCGCUGUAUACUUCUGUGCUACCAAACAUUUGCCAGUCUGGUUCCCUCUGCAUUUCAAGAUUACACACCCCUCAUAAUCCUGCAAAGCCUUUCGUAUCAAUUUUUCUGUGAAGCUUUUCAGAAUCCACCACCACUCCCACCAUCACCCCAACUCCCUGAGAGGGCAGAUCUCUCUCUCCGUUUGGCAGCCACUUUUAAUAAAGCAUUUUUCACUGAUACUAUGAGUCUGCCUUCUCCUUUGGGAAACUUUCUCAGACUCCCAUACCCAGAGUUAGGCACUCCAUAUUUGCCCACCUUGGUCCCUGGUAUGUAAUUCUACUCCAGCAUAGAACAGAGAAGCCAGAAUCAUCUUUCUGUAAAAUUCUAUCUUCUGUUAGACCCUGUGUCCCUUGAGGAUAUCAUUCAUCAUUGUUUCCCCAGGGCCUUGCACACCUUACUCUGGGCCUCCAGCUUAGCCUGUUUCUAUGCAGGCUGCCCAUGGCUGAUGCCAACCAGUCCUGUCCCUCUAUAUCCAAGCACCAGACUUCCUUACUGAUCCUUUGCAAUUUCAGACCCUCCAUCACCCUCCUGUAUCCUGCUGGAGAUUUUGGAGCAUCUCAGCAUCUCUGGGGCAGCUCGCGGACAUCAGGGAGGGGCAGGCAACAAAGCCCACGUAGACCCUUACAGGUAUCUCAGGAUCUCCGAAUGGGAUCCUCUUUUCCCCAGCCCAUUCCUUAAAACUCUGCUGACUUCCCUACUUCUUCCUCCAGCUCAGCACUUAGCUGGAGUUGCCCCAAAGGUGAUCACAGAGGAAUUUUCACAAGGGACUGUCCCAGACUGUCCUGAGAUGAAGGGGGUUAGGAUUCCAAAGAAGUAAACUCUAAACCCUGGUAUGAUGAGCCCAAAGCAUUUCUUAAGGGAUGUACACACAGUGAGGGCUGCAGCUCAUCUUAUUGGGAGGAAAGGAGACCAAGGAUGCUUUGUCUAGGUAUCUUUGCAGUGAGGAGUCUGGUUAUGCAGUUUAUAGGAGCGUUUAAGGAAUCUCCCAGGACCAGGGAUACUUUCUUUUAGUGUUUUGAAUUACAACCUAAACACAACACCUUUACUUAUGUCUGCGAAUGUUCAGAGCCCUGGCUUGGGUUCAAGUCUGCAGGGGAAAGCAUGCAGGUAUCCGGGCCACAGAAUAACAGAGAAGUCAAGCGUCUGUGUAUUCUUGGUCAGAACAGAUGGAAAAUGUGAAGAAACUGCGGAAUUGUACUCUAUCCUUUCUAGUAAGACUUGCUAUUAGGAAGUAUAAGUCAUUUGAUUCUGUUUUUCUUUUUAAAAAUUGUUUUGUGCAAUUUGAUUUUCUGUACAUACAUAUUGAUUUAAGGGAGUGAGAGACUUUCUAAUUUCUAAAAAAAUACACUUGGAAAUUUGAAGGGAUUAUAUUGAAUCUGCAAAUCAAUUUAUAGGGUAUUGUUAUCCUAAGAAUAAUAAGUAUUUAAAAAAUUAUUGUAGGUAUACGUAUGUAUGGGGUAUAUGGGAUGUUUUGAUAUAGGCAUACAAUGCAUAAUAAUCACUCAUAUCCUGGAGGGUAGGGUAUCCAUCCCCUCAAACAUGUAACCUUUGCCUUACAAACAGUCCAUCCUUGAACAUAAAAUGACUUCCAGUUAUUUUUCAGUUUAUCUUUGAUUUCUUUCAGUGUUACAAAUUGUGUAAAAUUCCUGUAUCUGUCUUGAAUUUUUUUCUCUUAAUGUUUUUUAUUGAUGCCAUUAUAAGUGGAAUUGUUUUCUUUAUUUUAUUUUUAAUUGUUGGUUGCUUUUAUAUAAACCAUAAUCUACUUUGGCAUGCCAGUUUUCUGUCUUGUAACACGG